CCGGAAUGAUCCUUGCUCCAUUUUGAAAAUAUAAAGUGAAAGAGGUCAUGUUGAUCCAGCCCGGCCCAGCUGUAGUGAUCUCGUUACCGCCGUGAGAAUUUCCAGUUUUUCCAAAUUAGUUAUCAAGCACAAUCGUCUUUCUUCCCAAAAUUCGAUUUUUUAAUUUUUGCCCUCUGUUUUUUAUUUUCUUUUAACCAUAUAUACACAGCACUGUGCAAAUUUAAAUAAAAAAUAUUCAGGCGGAGUUAUAGAAGAAUCAAUCACACCGUGCACCCAUUCCAGUUUCUGAAACUUCUGUGAAACAUGGGCAUGGAUCGAGAGGUCUGCAACAAAAAAAGAUACAGCUCUGACUAUUUGUACACAUGCUUUUUCUGAUUUAACUUCAGUUUCUCCUCAAAGAAUGCUACAUUCACGGUAACACUAUUUUAACUUUUCAUACUACUUUUCUUUUAAUGUUAAGCGUCUUAUUUUUCCCAGCACGGGCUUGGUCUAGUGGCCAUCUAGGCGCCAUGGUCGCGGGUUCAAAUCCUGGCUUGGAGUGGUUGGGACUGGGCUGCUGGCCAUUAUAGCCCGGAUUGCCAGGCAUGUGGGCUUGCGGACGGCCCAAUUCCAUCCAUAAAUGAUGACAGGAUCAAUUAGGUCCAAUUCCAUCCAUAAAUGAUGACAGGAUCAAUUAGCUUGUAUAUACCUUGAUGUGCUACUGAAAAGUCAAGCUGCUGCGGACCGAGGUUUUGGCUAUGAAAUGAAUCAAUUUGAGGACAUAUCAAGGGCCUUGAAAAGCCUGUGAUGGUUCGAGCAUCGAUCAGGAUGAGUUCAUUUAAGUUCUUGUAAGCUUGUUGCUUUAGAUUUUCCACCACAGCCUGUUAAGAAAAAGUUGAAUGAUCAGAUAUCCUAUCUGUAGAUACAUCUCUAAUAUUUAGAGUUCUUGAUGAAUAUAUACAUUAUGAUGAUUUGAAGUGCUUA
Mercurialis annua (annual mercury) is the source of this 963-nucleotide long non-coding RNA. RefSeq lists it as uncharacterized. Lineage: Eukaryota; Viridiplantae; Streptophyta; Magnoliopsida; Malpighiales; Euphorbiaceae. The record is from RefSeq and is a predicted model, not a curated record. The transcript has 2 exons.